This 253-nucleotide ribosomal RNA is filed under the name uncultured bacterium. Its description in RNAcentral is "partial 16S ribosomal RNA". It matches the Rfam family "Bacterial small subunit ribosomal RNA", at positions 524 to 776 of the family's 1533-position model. The record is from RNAcentral.
UACAGAGGGUGCAAGCGUUGUCCGGAUUUAUUGGGCGUAAAGCGUCUGUAGGCGGUCUACCAAGUCCGAAGUGAAAGAAUGGGGCUUAACUCCAUCCACGCUUUGGAAACUGGUAGACUAGAGACUGUUAGAGGUAAGUGGAAUUUCCAGUGUAGCGGUGAAAUGCGUAGAUAUUGGAAGGAACACCAGAGGCGAAGGCGGCUUACUGGGACAGUUCUGACGCUGAGAGACGAAAGCUAGGGGAGCGAAAGGG